GAUGAACGCUGGCGGCGUGCCUAAUACAUGCAAGUCGAGCGAACGGACGAGAAGCUUGCUUCUCUGAUGUUAGCGGCGGACGGGUGAGUAACACGUGGAUAACCUACCUAUAAGACUGGGAUAACUUCGGGAAACCGUAGCUAAUACCGGAUAAUAUUUUGAACCGCAUGGUUCAAAAGUGAAAGACGGUCUUGCUGUCACUUAUAGAUGGAUCCGCGCUGCAUUAGCUAGUUGGUAAGGUAACGGCUUACCAAGGCAACGAUGCAUAGCCGACUUGAGAGGGUGAUCGGCCACACUGGAACUGAGACACGGUCCAGACUCCUACGGGAGGCAGCAGUAGGGAAUCUUCCGCAAUGGGCGAAAGCCUGACGGAGCAACGCCGCGUGAGUGAUGAAGGUCUUCGGAUCGUAAAACUCUGUUAUUAGGGAAGAACAUAUGUGUAAGUAACUGUGCACAUCUUGACGGUACCUAAUCAGAAAGCCACGGCUAACUACGUGCCAGCAGCCGCGGUAAUACGUAGGUGGCAAGCGUUAUCCGGAAUUAUUGGGCGUAAAGCGCGCGUAGGCGGUUUUUUAAGUCUGAUGUGAAAGCCCACGGCUCAACCGUGGAGGGUCAUUGGAAACUGGAAAACUUGAGUGCAGAAGAGGAAAGUGGAAUUCCAUGUGUAGCGGUGAAAUGCGCAGAGAUAUGGAGGAACACCAGUGGCGAAGGCGACUUUCUGGUCUGUAACUGACGCUGAUGUGCGAAAGCGUGGGGAUCAAACAGGAUUAGAUACCCUGGUAGUCCACGCCGUAAACGAUGAGUGCUAAGUGUUAGGGGGUUUCCGCCCCUUAGUGCUGCAGCUAACGCAUUAAGCACUCCGCCUGGGGAGUACGACCGCAAGGUCGAAACUCAAAGGAAUUGACGGGGACCCGCACAAGCGGUGGAGCAUGUGGUUUAAUUCGAAGCAACGCGAAGAACCUUACCAAAUCUUGACAUCCUUUGACAACUCUAGAGAUAGAGCCUUCCCCUUCGGGGGACAAAGUGACAGGUGGUGCAUGGUUGUCGUCAGCUCGUGUCGUGAGAUGUUGGGUUAAGUCCCGCAACGAGCGCAACCCUUAAGCUUAGUUGCCAUCAUUAAGUUGGGCACUCUAAGUUGACUGCCGGUGACAAACCGGAGGAAGGUGGGGAUGACGUCAAAUCAUCAUGCCCCUUAUGAUUUGGGCUACACACGUGCUACAAUGGACAAUACAAAGGGCAGCGAAACCGCGAGGUCAAGCAAAUCCCAUAAAGUUGUUCUCAGUUCGGAUUGUAGUCUGCAACUCGACUACAUGAAGCUGGAAUCGCUAGUAAUCGUAGAUCAGCAUGCUACGGUGAAUACGUUCCCGGGUCU
RNAcentral lists this ribosomal RNA (1372 nucleotides) under uncultured bacterium. Its description in RNAcentral is "bacterial SSU rRNA". It matches the Rfam family "Bacterial small subunit ribosomal RNA", at positions 28 to 1381 of the family's 1533-position model. The record is from RNAcentral.